GGGGCUGCUAAGGUUUCGACAUUUAGUUCUGGAAGUUUUUAACGUAUUCCUAAUUUAAGGAUAAUCUCAAAUAGUUGCAAAUAAUAUUUUAUCUUUUAAUACUAAACUAGCACUAGCUUAAGUUUUUAGUAUAAUCAGUUAUGGUAUUUUACUCUUUUAACCUUUCUGAGAAAUCUAAAAAAGAGGCGCAUUUGUGCAAAGAAAUUUAGUUAAAUGUUUUCCAUGGUUGUAAAUAAAGAACUUUUUUAGGUCUAAAUGGACGUGGGUUCAACUCCCACCAGCUCCACC
RNAcentral lists this transfer-messenger RNA (288 nucleotides) under Prymnesium parvum. It matches the Rfam family "transfer-messenger RNA". From Rfam's summary of the family: Bacterial tmRNA, also known as 10Sa RNA or SsrA, is named for its dual tRNA and mRNA-like properties. Its role is to liberate the mRNA from a stalled ribosome. The record is from RNAcentral. Lineage: Eukaryota; Haptophyta; Prymnesiales; Prymnesiaceae.